This 301-nucleotide ribosomal RNA is filed under the name uncultured bacterium. RNAcentral's name for it is "partial 16S ribosomal RNA". It matches the Rfam family "Bacterial small subunit ribosomal RNA", at positions 509 to 807 of the family's 1533-position model. The record is from RNAcentral.
CAGUAGCCGCGGGAACACAGAGGGUGCAAGCGUUAAUCGGAAUUACUGGGCGUAAAGCGCGCGUAGGUGGUUUGUUAAGUUGGAUGUGAAAUCCCCGGGCUCAACCUGGGAACUGCAUCCAAAACUGGCAAGCUAGAGUAUGGUAGAGGGUGGUGGAAUUUCCUGUGUAGCGGUGAAAUGCGUAGAUAUAGGAAGGAACACCAGUGGCGAAGGCGACCACCUGGACUGAUACUGACACUGAGGUGCGAAAGCGUGGGGAGCAAACAGGAUUAGAUACCCGCGUAGUCCCUGUCUCUUAUAC